Non-coding RNA from Bactrocera oleae (olive fruit fly), 1481 nucleotides. The record is from RefSeq and is a predicted model, not a curated record. Lineage: Eukaryota; Metazoa; Arthropoda; Insecta; Diptera; Tephritidae.
AAUUGUUACAAAAUUUCGAAAACAUUUGGAGCAAAAAUUUUGUGUGUGGGUGGCGUGCGAGCGGAUAAGGCAAUGCCGUGGGUAAUAACGCGCACAAAAAUUGAAACGCAAAGCUUUGGGAAAAGUUUCGCCGCUUGUCCUGCUGGCAGCAUGAAGAGUUUAUCGGCGUUUGAAGCGAAACCGCGAAAACAUAGUUGAAAAUUUCGUUUUAGCAGAAAAGCUGCAGCGUCCGUUCCUUCAGCACCUUCAUAAAAGUUAUUUUUCUCUUUGGAUCCGAAAAAACCCAAGUAUAUUCCCAAAUGCUCGGAGAGAAUGACGUGUAAGGAGAAUUAUGGAUGCCUUUUGGAAUUUCGACUGUCACACGUUCAGCCAGAUCUGCAGAUAAAGCCUAACGGUGUUUUGUAAUUAAAAAUUCAUAAUCAAGGGAAGAGAAUACAAUCAGCGCUCACAUACACAACUAUACCACUAACAUUCUCUUAUCAAUGCACUCACCGCUAUGGGCAACAAACGCAUCUAUUCAUCAACCAGCUAACAGACCAAAAAGCCAAUAAGCCACAGGCAAUGUCAUUGUCUACGCCAUGGACGUGAUCAGCGCCCAUAGAAACAGUGGAGCACCGCAACGGCUAAUGACUUUAUCACCCAUUACCAUAGUUACGUUCAAUUAAGUUUAAUAAGCGAUAAUGCUACCAAAGCAGCGGCUGCAUUUGAGUGAUAGUCGGAUGCACGAGCUGGUGCAAGGAUGUUAUAAGCAGAGCUUUGCAGAUACGUUAUGAGCAUUAGAUAUAGCUGUGGUGCACACUGCUAUUGCAAUUGUUUGUGUGUUAAUUAUUGUCGCGCGCACGAGCGACAACAACACCAGUUGGCGUAUACCAAAGUCAGUCGCUGAACAGUUAAAGCUUACCUAAACACUGGUUGACUGAUGCAUUUAAGUGGUCGAGGAUAACUGGUGGAUUGCACGCGCUAAGCUGCUGGAGUAAGCAUUUAAUGCGGAUUGCAAUUAUUGUAAUUAUUUAAUUUACUAAAUAUAUGGGAUAUUAAUGAGCGGGUGUGAGUAGUAGAGGGAUAAAAAGAAGAAAUAACGUUCACUUCGGCUGCAUUUCUUGCAGCAUAAAAGGGUACAAAAAGAAAGAGAAAAAGAGAGAAAGUCAACUACAGAAUUUAGAUAUUUCACCCUCCAGUAGUAACAAGUUAUCUUAAAACACAAACAACAAAAAACAAUGAUUUGCCAGGAUAUAUGUUUUUAACCACUCUAAAAUAUAAAUCAACUUUGUUCUGGGAAGCUGCCUUUAUGUCAAAAAUCAAAAUUCUGAUUAGUCCUUCGAUCAUUGUCUAUAUUCAUUAUAGUAUUAAUAAAAUUUUUGGCCUUGAGAUAAUUUUAAAGAAAUAUGUUUCUAACCGCCAGGCACCCUACUUCAGAUCGGCUACAGAAUCUAAAAUUUAUCUGAAAAAUUAAUCACUGAUAUGAAUUUUAUAUUCCGCAA